UGUGUCCAUGAGGUAGUGAUGGCGGGGUUAGCGCGUCUCUGUCGCUAGGCGAAGCCUUUCCUCGUGACUUCCGCCCUUGCUGACGCGUGCGAGCCGGGCGAGGCGGAACCACAUCGAGCCGAGACGUGUCAGGAGAAGCCGGGAGGCAUCCGGGCUUCCAGAUCCACUCUGGCGUGUGGCGAAAAGUCCCCGCCUCCAUUGCUUGGGCUAUCUGCCCUGUAAAUUCAUCAAAUGCCUCUAUUUCAGCUGCGAGAGAACGUUUACUUGCUUGGACUCUUCUGUGAAGUCUCGGUGGCAUUGUGGUGUCAAGUUGUUCUCUCGUGGGUGCAGCGAAGAUGGAACACAGUGUAAAGGCCUUAAUAACAAUAUUCUACAGAGGCACCACAGAGACCACCUGCAUCUCUGUGUGGACUGGAUCUGCAGUGCCUCGGACUGGAAGUCUCUGCAAAGAGUGGUGAGGACGGCCGAAAAGAUCAUCAGGACUCCUCUUCCUCCUAUCCAGGAGAUGGCAAAAAGCCGCUGCCUGACCAGGGCUCAGAAAACCUGCAGAGACUCCUCCCACCCCCACCAAGGACUGUUUCCACUGCUGGACUCUGGAAAGAGGUUCCGUAGCAGAACCUCCAGGUUCUGUAACAGCUUCUCCCCUCAGGCCGUAAGACUCUUGAAGGCAUCAUAAUCAAUCACCCCCAAAAAAGGGAUGAAGUGGUUGGAAUAUAAAGACAAUAUAACAUACAUCCAUAAACCUGCAAUAUAUUUAGUAUUUUAUUGAUUUAUAUCUGCACCUUAUUGCUCUUUUAUCGUGCACUACACACAGCUAAUGCAACUUCUUAUCUGUACUGUAAAGUUCACCUUUGAAUGACAAUAAAGGAAGUCUAAGUCCAAGUCUAA
Molecule: long non-coding RNA, 888 nt
Organism: Nerophis ophidion (straightnose pipefish)
Lineage: Eukaryota; Metazoa; Chordata; Actinopteri; Syngnathiformes; Syngnathidae
Exons: 2
Source: RefSeq, a predicted model, not a curated record